This 515-nucleotide ribosomal RNA is filed under the name uncultured bacterium. RNAcentral describes it as "partial 16S ribosomal RNA". It matches the Rfam family "Bacterial small subunit ribosomal RNA", at positions 28 to 523 of the family's 1533-position model. The record is from RNAcentral.
GAUGAACGCUGGCGGCGUGCCUAAUACAUGCAAGUCGAGCGAAUGGAUUAAGAGCUUGCUCUUAUGAAGUUAGCGGCGGACGGGUGAGUAACACGUGGGUAACCUGCCCAUAAGACUGGGAUAACUCCGGGAAACCGGGGCUAAUACCGGAUAACAUUUUGAACCGCAUGGUUCGAAAUUGAAAGGCGGCUUCGGCUGUCACUUAUGGAUGGACGCGCGUCGCAUUAGCUAGUUGGUGAGGCAACGGCUCACCAAGGCAACGAUGCGUAGCCGACCUGAGAGGGUGAUCGGCCACACUGGGACUGAGACACGGCCCAGACUCCUACGGGAGGCAGCAGUAGGGAAUCUUCCGCAAUGGACGAAAGUCUGACGGAGCAACGCCGCGUGAGUGAUGAAGGCUUUCGGGUCGUAAAACUCUGUUGUUAGGGAAGAACAAGUGCUAGUUGAAUAAGCUGGCACCUUGGCGGUACCUAACCAGAAAGCCACGGCUAACUACGUGCCAGCCGCCGCCGUAA